This is a non-coding RNA of Acanthosepion pharaonis, 107 nucleotides long. NCBI's taxonomy places the organism in Eukaryota, Metazoa, Mollusca, Cephalopoda, Sepiida, Sepiidae. The record is from the annotation of a GenBank genome assembly.
CAUAUCACGUUGAAAUACCGGUUCUCGUCCGAUCACUGAAGUUAAGCAACGUUGGGACUGAGCAAUACCUAGACGGCUGACCGCUUGUAAAUAUGAGGCGCUGUAAG